RNAcentral lists this long non-coding RNA (361 nucleotides) under Struthio camelus australis. RNAcentral's name for it is "lncRNA (ENSSCUG00000001847.1)". The record is from RNAcentral. Lineage: Eukaryota; Metazoa; Chordata; Aves; Struthioniformes; Struthionidae.
UAUCAUGUCAUUCUCAUUUGAACAGAGAAGCCUCCAGUGACCUGGAACAGCACAGCAAUGAGGCACUGUGUGCAGACCUAAUAGAAGGCAUCCAUUCUUGGAAGUGACAGCUGUAUUGGAAAGCUGAAGGCAGGUGAGGCUCUGUUGCCCCUCAGGAAAGCAGCAGCCCACCUUUCUGUCUUUGGGUUGCGUGCUGUACAGUUUUCCUGGUUGUUACAUCAAAGGAAGAUAUUUGAAUGCGGGCUAAGGAAAGGCAAAAGACUGGACCCCUGUUCAAGAUGCUCAAGUAUCAGAGAAGAUUACACUCUGUAUUGAGAAGAACUGAGUUGACCUGAAACUCCAUCUCAAAUCUCUGGCUGGC